RNAcentral lists this ribosomal RNA (492 nucleotides) under uncultured bacterium. Its description in RNAcentral is "partial 16S ribosomal RNA". It matches the Rfam family "Bacterial small subunit ribosomal RNA", at positions 29 to 507 of the family's 1533-position model. The record is from RNAcentral.
AGUGAACGCUGGCGGUAGGCCUAACACAUGCAAGUCGAACGGCAGCACAGUAAGAGCUUGCUCUUACGGGUGGCGAGUGGCGGACGGGUGAGGAAUACAUCGGAAUCUACUUUUUCGUGGGGGUUAACGUAGGGAAGCUUACGCUAAUACCGCAUCCGACGUACGGGUGAAAGCAGGGGAUCGUCUGACCUUGCGCGAUUGAAUGAGCCGAUGUCGGAUUAGCUAGUUGGCGGGGUAAAGGCCCACCAAGGCGACGAUCCGUAGCUGGUCUGAGAGGAUGAUCAGCCACACUGGAACUGAGACACGGUCCAGACGCCUACGGGAGGCAGCAGUGGGGAAUAUUGGACAAUGGGCGCAAGCCUGAUCCAGCCAUACCGCGUGGGUGAAGAAGGCCUUCGGGUUGUAAAGCCCUUUUGUUGGGAAAGAAAAGCAGCAGGUUAAUACCCCGCUGUUCUGACGGUACCCAAAGAAUAAGCACCGGCUAACUUCGUG